Molecule: unclassified non-coding RNA, 696 nt
Filed under: Hevea brasiliensis (rubber tree)
Lineage: Eukaryota; Viridiplantae; Streptophyta; Magnoliopsida; Malpighiales; Euphorbiaceae
Source: RNAcentral
UCUGGAUGAGAAUUUUGAGGGCAUCAGGGAGUUUGAAGCAGAUUUGGCGUUGAAGGAAUUGGAUCCAUUGAUGGGUUUCGAUUUGACAGCUUCAAACUAGAUUUAGAAAGGGUGAUUGAAACGAGGUUACUGAGUUUUGCUCGUCGAAUUGGGCUUCUUUAGAUGCUGUAACUAAAUUAACGUAUCUCUGCGUCGCGUUAACUUGAAAACUAAUGCCCGUUUUGUUCAAUUCUUUCUGGGCAAUGUAGUCUGCUAGAGGCGAAUUUUAAUUUGGUCAAUUUUGAUUAAUUAUCUUUGGUUUCAAGACGGGUACUUAAGUGCUAAAAUCUAGGAUGCUAUUGGAGUUCAAGAAAUGAAAUCUAGGAUACAAAAGUGAGAUAAUCGGGGAACACAUCUGGUUCAAGAAGUGUCUUUUUUCCUUGCAAUUCCUUCUUUGGGCUGUGAUGGUGAUAGAUAAUUUGUUUCUCUGUACAUUGGAAGCUGCUUGUCAUCUUUAUAAGCUAGGAUUAUUGUUCUUGAGACUUCUGUAAUUCUAAAGACAUUUUUUGAUGCCAUGUUGUUUGAUGUCUACUUUUAUAUCUCUUCUUAAUUUGUUGGGGGUUAUUAACUGUCCAUGUUUCCAUUGUGUCUGGACAUUUUGAUUAAAUCUGUAGGAAUGAUGCUUCACAAACACUCUUCUAUCUCUCUCUCUCUCUC